UCUGCUGAUCUCAGGUCAUCC
RNAcentral lists this small nuclear RNA (21 nucleotides) under Arabidopsis thaliana (thale cress). Its description in RNAcentral is "snRNA_05972". The record is from RNAcentral. Lineage: Eukaryota; Viridiplantae; Streptophyta; Magnoliopsida; Brassicales; Brassicaceae.